Molecule: ribosomal RNA, 429 nt
Filed under: Actinomycetes bacterium
Lineage: Bacteria; Bacillati; Actinomycetota; Actinomycetes
Description: Actinobacteria bacterium partial 16S ribosomal RNA
Rfam family: Bacterial small subunit ribosomal RNA
Source: RNAcentral
UAGGGAAUCUUCCGCAAUGGGCGAAAGCUUGACGGAGCAACGCCGCGUGAGUGAUGAAGGUCUUCGGAUCGUAAAACUCUGUUAUUAGGGAAGAACAAAUGUGUAAGUAACUAUGCACGUCUUGACGGUACCUAAUCAGAAAGCCACGGCUAACUACGUGCCAGCAGCCGCGGUAAUACGUAGGUGGCAAGCGUUAUCCGGAAUUAUUGGGCGUAAAGCGCGCGUAGGCGGUUUUUUAAGUCUGAUGUGAAAGCCCACGGCUCAACCGUGGAGGGUCAUUGGAAACUGGAAAACUUGAGUGCAGAAGAGGAAAGUGGAAUUCCAUGUAUAGCGGUGAAAUGCGCAGAGAUAUGGAGGAACACCAGUGGCGAAGGCGACUUUCUGGUCUGUAACUGACGCUGAUGUGCGAAAGCGUGGGGAUCAAACAGG